RNAcentral lists this long non-coding RNA (895 nucleotides) under Gossypium barbadense (sea-island cotton). RNAcentral describes it as "long non-coding RNA (GBAR_LNC020351)". Lineage: Eukaryota; Viridiplantae; Streptophyta; Magnoliopsida; Malvales; Malvaceae. The record is from RNAcentral.
CCUUCUCACUGAAGAGAGCGUGCAUGCCGGACUGAUUACUAUUCUGACUAAUGAAUUCUAUUAACUCGGGGCAACGCCCAAUCUUUAGCACUUUCAACAAUGGGAACUCAAUAUUGUGGUUUCCUGAGUUGAAGAAGAUGAGGUUUGGAAGACCCACUAUUUGCAGGGAGUUUAAUCGAGGGAAACAAAUCACAUCUUUCCUUUCUUCUUCAAUUUCCUCUGUAAGUAUUAUGUCCCUUAAGCACUUGCAAUCCUCCACUCCAUCCCCUUUCGAUACAAUCUCCUCAACUCAACAAUCAGUGAUGCUUAAAUGUUCAAGUUGUGGAAGAUCUUUGGCUAUUGAUACUGGAAAUAGAUUUUUCAAAUUCUCACAUCGCCGAACAUUUAUUUUUCGUAGAUUUUUAAAGGAACCUGGUGCUAGGUCAUUAUAAAAUAUCAUCUUCACAUUACUCAAGUUAAUCUCCAUGUCUUCCAAGCUAGGAACUGCAACCUGUUCAUAUAUAUAUAUAAUCCAUGCCCAUAAUAAGGUUAGCCCAAAUAAUGAAGGCAGAAAAAAAAAAACAAGGACAAAUCAACAGAUUUAUGCAAGAGUGUAAGACUACUGAAAUAAAUCACCUUCUCACUGAAGAGAGCGUGCAUGCCGGACUGAUUACUAUUCUGACUAAUGAAUUCUAUUAACUUGGGGCAACGCUCAAUCUUUAGCACUUUCAACAAUGGGAACUCAAUAUUGUGGUUUCCUGAGUUGAAGAAGAUGAGGUUUGGAAGACCCACUAUAUGCAGGGAGUUUAAUCGAGCGAAACAAAUCACAUCUCUCCUUUCUUCUUCAAUUUCCUCUGUAAGUAUUAUGUCCCUUAAGCAAUAGCAAUCCUCUAUCUCAAAGCAUUGGAGCUGCACC